GUUUAUACAUAAAAGAUGAAUUAAUUCUUCCUACUUAUGUGAAGGUUGACUUUGGUGACUUCCAAUUUGUGUACAUCAAACCGAAAGUGAUACGAUACGUGUCGGGGGUUGCAACAGCUUCUUUGGGUUCAGGAGAACUAAGUAGUGAAGAGUACAAGGCAGCACAAGUUGAUCCGAUAGUUCAAUUUGCAAAGCCUGUCAUGUCUCACAUGAAUAGGGAUCAUACUGAAGAUACAAAGAUGAUUGUGAGACACUGGACGUCCAUUCCGGUAAAAAAAAAAAAAA
This is a non-coding RNA of Cucurbita pepo subsp. pepo (vegetable marrow), 285 nucleotides long. The record is from RefSeq and is a predicted model, not a curated record. Lineage: Eukaryota; Viridiplantae; Streptophyta; Magnoliopsida; Cucurbitales; Cucurbitaceae.